UGCAGUCGAACGAUGAUGCCCAGCUUGCUGGGUGGAUUAGUGGCGAACGGGUGAGUAACACGUGAGUAACCUGCCCCUGACUCUGGGAUAAGCGUUGGAAACGACGUCUAAUACUGGAUAUGACUGCCGGCCGCAUGGUCUGGUGGUGGAAAGAUUUUUUGGUUGGGGAUGGACUCGCGGCCUAUCAGCUUGUUGGUGAGGUAAUGGCUCACCAAGGCGACGACGGGUAGCCGGCCUGAGAGGGUGACCGGCCACACUGGGACUGAGACACGGCCCAGACUCCUACGGGAGGCAGCAGUGGGGAAUAUUGCACAAUGGGCGAAAGCCUGAUGCAGCAACGCCGCGUGAGGGAUGACGGCCUUCGGGUUGUAAACCUCUUUUAGUAGGGAAGAAGGGAGCUUGCUCUUGACGGUACCUGCAGAAAAAGCACCGGCUAACUACGUGCCAGCAGCCGCGGUAAUACGUAGGGUGCAAGCGUUGUCCGGAAUUAUUGGGCGUAAAGAGCUCGUAGGCGGUUUGUCGCGUCUGCUGUGAAAUCCCGAGGCUCAACCUCGGGCUUGCAGUGGGUACGGGCAGACUAGAGUGCGGUAGGGGAGAUUGGAAUUCCUGGUGUAGCGGUGGAAUGCGCAGAUAUCAGGAGGAACACCGAUGGCGAAGGCAGAUCUCUGGGCCGUAACUGACGCUGAGGAGCGAAAGCAUGGGGAGCGAACAGGAUUAGAUACCCUGGUAGUCCAUGCCGUAAACGUUGGGCGCUAGAUGUAGGGACCUUUCCACGGUUUCUGUGUCGUAGCUAACGCAUUAAGCGCCCCGCCUGGGGAGUACGGCCGCAAGGCUAAAACUCAAAGGAAUUGACGGGGGCCCGCACAAGCGGCGGAGCAUGCGGAUUAAUUCGAUGCAACGCGAAGAACCUUACCAAGGCUUGACAUACACCGGAAACGGCCAGAGAUGGUCGCCCCCUUGUGGUCGGUGUACAGGUGGUGCAUGGUUGUCGUCAGCUCGUGUCGUGAGAUGUUGGGGUUAA
Molecule: ribosomal RNA, 1021 nt
Filed under: Curtobacterium oceanosedimentum
Lineage: Bacteria; Bacillati; Actinomycetota; Actinomycetes; Micrococcales; Microbacteriaceae
Description: bacterial SSU rRNA
Rfam family: Bacterial small subunit ribosomal RNA
Source: RNAcentral